Molecule: long non-coding RNA, 560 nt
Organism: Photinus pyralis (common eastern firefly)
Lineage: Eukaryota; Metazoa; Arthropoda; Insecta; Coleoptera; Lampyridae
Exons: 4
Source: RefSeq, a predicted model, not a curated record
AUAAAAUGUCUUCUUUGAACGCGACCCAAUAGAUGUGGUCGCGUCUAUUCUGUGGUAUGGUGGUGCCGCGCCGUCGCCUUGUUAGUUGACCCUGGACUUGACUUGAUGUCUCGUUUAUAGUGCUCUCUGUAAUUAAAUGUUUAAUGGUUUGCAGUAAACAGCAUAUGGGUGGUCACAAUCGUUUGUACUUGGUCCAAGGUUACAUACAAGCUGACUACAAUCGCAAAAGAAUGCGGCGGAGAUAAUCCAGUCCGGUUCACACCAGCCUGAACUACUUCAACCCUCCAGGUCGUUUUAAUACGAGCCGGUUUUCACCAACCAAUAUUAAAACCACCGAUUUCUGCAGAACCUUGUAAACAAAAAUAGAAACGAGAAGUGACGUUUGGGAGCUUAGUACAAUCGUGAAGCGAAUGAGGAUCAGUCCGUCUCCUCUGGUGAAUUCGCCUUUUAUUUCCACCUAGACCUGGAGGUGGAAUUGGAAGGGCUGCCUGCGUACAUAGAAUGUGCGGUAACUGAUAUGGGGAUUAAACACUAGCACCACCUGUUGGUCCCUUACAACU